GGCUCGGUGGUGUAGUGGCAAAGCACGCUUCCCCGGAUAGGAUGAAACGCAGGUUUGAUUCCCGCCUGAGCCC
Non-coding RNA from Parelaphostrongylus tenuis, 73 nucleotides. NCBI's taxonomy places the organism in Eukaryota, Metazoa, Nematoda, Chromadorea, Rhabditida, Metastrongylidae. The record is from the annotation of a GenBank genome assembly.